UUAAGUCCCUUAACGAGCGAAACCCCUAUUACUAGUUGCCAGCGGGUCAAGCCGGGGACUCUAGUGAGACUGCCGUCGUUAAGACGGAGGAAGGUGGGGAUGACGUCAAGUCAUCAUGGCCCUUACGGCUGGGGCUACACACGUGCUACAAUGGGCGUGACAGAGGGUUGCAAGACCGCAAGGUGGAGCAAAUCCCAAAAAGCUGGUCUUAGUUCGGAUUGUGGGCUGAAAUUCGCCCACAUGAAGUCGGAAUCGGUAGUAAUCGCGGAUCAGCACGCCGCGGUGAAUAUGUUCCUGAGCCUUGUACACACCGCCCGUCAAGCCACGAGAGCAGGUAGCACCCGAAGUCGCUGACCCAACCCUCGGGAGGGAGGCGCCGACGGUGAGAUCUGUGAUUGGGACUAAGUCGUAACAAGGUAGCCGUAGGGGAACCUGCGGCUGGAUCACCUCCUUU
Molecule: ribosomal RNA, 454 nt
Filed under: Planctomycetota bacterium
Lineage: Bacteria; Pseudomonadati; Planctomycetota
Description: bacterial SSU rRNA
Rfam family: Bacterial small subunit ribosomal RNA
Source: RNAcentral